GAGUAGUAAAAGAUAAUCUUGAAACUUAAAAUUUUUGGCGGUUUUUUAGGCUGUUUAGAGGAACCUGUCCUGUAAUAGAUGAUCCACUGUUGAUUUAACUUUGAAGUGUUGGUUUAUAUACCUCCGUCGUAAAGUAAAUUUUUUAGAAUUUAUUGAAAUUUUUUUGAAAAUAUGGCAGGUCAAGGUGUAGCUGGUGUUGGAGGGUGAGAUGGGUUACAAUAUUAGAUUGAUAAACGGAUAUUAUAUUAGAAUAUUUUUAUUUGAAGGUGGAUUUAAAAGUAAUUUUUAUGAUUAAGAUGCUAAAGUGGAAUAUGGCUCUGAAAAAUGU
Molecule: ribosomal RNA, 328 nt
Filed under: Acanthophrynus coronatus
Lineage: Eukaryota; Metazoa; Arthropoda; Arachnida; Amblypygi; Phrynidae
Description: partial small subunit ribosomal RNA
Source: RNAcentral